RNAcentral lists this transfer RNA (67 nucleotides) under Taeniochauliodes natalensis. Its description in RNAcentral is "tRNA-Asp". The record is from RNAcentral. Lineage: Eukaryota; Metazoa; Arthropoda; Insecta; Megaloptera; Corydalidae.
AAAGAAUUAGUUAAUUAUAACCUUAGUAUGUCAAACUAAAAUUAUUAGAUUUCACUAAUAUUCUUUG